Non-coding RNA from Phacochoerus africanus (Common warthog), 665 nucleotides. NCBI's taxonomy places the organism in Eukaryota, Metazoa, Chordata, Mammalia, Artiodactyla, Suidae. The record is from the annotation of a RefSeq genome assembly.
GGAACAUCUCCAGAUCAAGUCAUGACACCUCACUGCCCAGGGUGACAGUAUUUUAUGAUGAAAAUAUCCCAGAAAGAAGUAGAAGCAUUAUGAAGCACCUAGUGGACCCCGUGCUGGGACUUCUGUUGGCCCAGAUUUGCUGUGUGAGAGGGGUAGACGUGGAGCAGAGUCCCCCAGCCCUGAGUCUCCAGGAGGGAGCCAGCUCCACACUCUGGUGCAAUUUUUCCACCACUCUGGUGAGCAAUGUGCAGUGGUAUCGUCAGAAGAGUGGGGGCCGCCUCGACCACUUGUUCUUCAUUCCUUCAGGGACCAAGCAGAAUGGACGAUUAAACGCCACGACAGUUGCUAAAGAACGCCGCAGCUUGCUGUACAUUUCCUUUGCCCAGAUCACAGACUCAGCCACGUACCUCUGUGCUGGGGAGCACAGCACUCCCCAGGCACCUGCAGCCUGUACAGGAACCCGCCAGCCACAGUCCUACCACAGGGCAUUCACAUUGCUCAUUCUUCCUCACCUACACUGGUACAGUUUUAACACUGACACUUCUUGGACUACAGAUUUGGGACUUUGGUCUUUUACUCCCUUCCCAAUCUGUAUCUCCUUCUGCUCUAGAAACUUCUUACUUGAAACUUCCAGAGUACCUGAUAAAAAUACAGAAGUAAAGUGA